GGUUGUGCUCGCACACACUCACACAUGCUCACUCACACAUGCUCCACGGCAGCAAGGGGCGCUACUGAGUCCAUUUGGGAAGGCGGGAGGUUGAGCAGAGCAUGGAACAGCCCCUGCCAGCCUGAUGACAGGUGUUUCUAGCGAUCCAGCCAUCUGUUACCCGAACUAAUUUCACAAUGAGCGGCCAACAGAGGCCAGAGUAUGCACACAUAGAAACUGCUGCACGGAACUUGCUGUCUCUUUUAACAGCAACAGUCAGCCAAGGGCAAGUUCAGGAUCAAGGCCAGCCCCAGCCCCAGGUUCAGGUUCAGGAUCGAGGCCAGCCCCAGCCAGGGAACUCGUCAGGAGUUGAGAGUGAGGCCAGCCAAUGUCCAGCAGGAGAUGACAAAGUCUUUUCCAGGUCUCUUCAGAAGAGAGCAAACCAGUGGCAAACGUAGAUUCCCUGCGCCACUGAGAACAGUUUCAGCCACAUCCACAAAGACCCUUAAUGUACAGUUUUAUUUGCUCCCAAAACCCAUUAGCAGAACUCCACAAGGGACUCAGGAGCUCAGGCUGUUGAUGGCAGGCCUAGGUAAACGCCUUAUAGCAUUGCCUGAACAGAGCAACCAUGCAGAGAUUUCAACAGUUCUUUCGGCUGAAUACCCGAAACUGGAGACUUUGACUGGUGGAUGGCUAAUUUAUAAAGCAUCGGGACGAAGUGGCCAGAGAAAACUUUCUGUGAUCCCACCUGAGUCCGAAGGCUACACAGCAAAAAUGCUAAAGUGAAUUUCAAAUAAUGGAAAACACACGCUUUUCAUUAUUCCACUUCAAGAGGAACUAGACACCACGCCUCUUCCCGCUGAUGCCCCUGAGUUCAGCAAAAUGCCUACAUCUCAAUGCAGGACCUGUGGAGAAACCUUACCCCUACAGUUUCUUGCUCUACAUGUUGAGUCUUGUAGCAAGUCUGCAGAAGAUACUGAACAAGAAAUUGAUGAAGAUUCAGAUGGAAAGCAAGACCAUGAUGAUCAAGACAAUACUUCCCCAGUCGUGAGUGAGAAAAAGUGUCCCAUAUGCCAAGUAGUGUACCCUGCUGACAUCAUCGAGAUGCAUGCCAGUGCCUGUGUUGAGAGGAAAUUGCUGUGUCACAAGGCUGUUCGAUGGAGAGCCAGACCACCUGCAGACGACUUCAUCGUCUGCAUUCUUGGUUGAGAGUGACCUUUUUCUGAUGGUGGGCAGAAUCAUUGGCCAUUGCUUCCUGCAUGGAGGUCCUGCACUGACGGGCCUAAGCCCAGCUGUUGUUCAUAUCUUGUGUGGAGGCACAGCUGAAACUGCCACCAUUAGCAUUCGUGACUGUCCAGACAUGGAUCUAAGGGAGAAAAUCCAGAUACUCGAAGGGAACUCCGAACUCUCAGCUGCUGAGAAGGAGAGUGUGAACACCUUGUGUCUGGCAUGGGACCUUCCUGUGAUGUCUAACGACAAGCGGCGAUGGCUCUUUGAGAGACUUCUUUAUCAUGCGGUAAUUGGACGAGCCAUGAAGCAAAUCAAGCAAAUCAGAAAAGGACUCAAAGACACAAUGCUGUCGCCCUUCAUUAAUCAACGUCCAGAUGCAGCUCCAAUUCUUUUUCCACAGGAGUCAAGUGCUAUAGCGGCCAUACCGCAUAAAAAUAUAAGAAAGAAAUAUAACGCAAAGUGCCGCCGAGGCACCCGUCAGCGAAUCUUACGCAUGGGUAAAAAUCAAGGUCCGAGCAAAAGUCGUUUCAGUGCAAUUUAUUGUCAACACAUCAAGCAUUUCUCUUCCUUCUUACCCGAUGGUAAAAAACCAUAAGCCUACCGGGUGCGCCGCUCACUACCACCUGUUUCCCAUAUUUAUAAUGAGCCGGUCUCCCCUCCCCCGGUGCCCAAAGGCUGUCUUUACAAAACAGAGGCAUGGUACAACUUAUUUGAUCAACUUAAAUAAGAAUUAAAAGGAAGAUUUACUAUAAACAAAAAAGAACAAUAAAAUAAAUGGAUAACUAUUAAAUAAUAUAAGCUCCUAGAUAUGGCUUCAUCAAGUGCUGUGUUGACCCCAGAGGUAAAUACGUCUAAUAAGACCGGUAGUAUUGAUCAUAGCUGGAAAUGAAGUGUUCAAUCAGAAACAUUUUCCAAACAGCAGAAAAAUUAUUUAUUCCAGAUGGCUUGUCUGUUUGAUGUUUUUGUAUGUAGAGCAUUCUUGACCGCAUCAACUGGCCGACCAUGAUUGACGUUGAUGAUGAUGAUGAUGAUGAUGAUGAUGAUGAUGAUGAAUGCUCUUUGGAAGAUAAGAGCCGUGUCACAGGAUACCUUCGUCGCUUCAUUCAAGAUGCAUCCAGUGAUGAGUUGAAGGAACUUGCAAAGUUCUGGGUUGGACGGGAGGCUCCUUCCAGUACCCUCACAGUGGAGGUGAUUAACGGUGGCCUACCAAAGUCAUCCACAUGCUUUGAAACACUCCGUAUUCCUGCCCACUACCAAGACUACCCAACAUUCAAGAAAGAGUUGAUGGCGUGUCUUAGCACAAAUGACACUGGAUUUGGGCUGGUGUAAAUGUUGGCAGCAAAAUGUGUGACUGUUAUAUCACAGCUUGUACCUAAAGCUAUAGUCAACUGUUCAAUGUUCUUGUUUUGCUCUUAGUUAUGGAAGUAAUAUUCUGUUAGUUCUGUGCAAAUUUCCAGGCUAAGUUUAUUAUACAAGAUUUCAAAA
Gymnodraco acuticeps is the source of this 2694-nucleotide long non-coding RNA. RefSeq lists it as uncharacterized. The transcript is spliced from 11 exons. The record is from RefSeq and is a predicted model, not a curated record. Lineage: Eukaryota; Metazoa; Chordata; Actinopteri; Perciformes; Bathydraconidae.